GACGAACGCUGGCGGCGUGCUUAACACAUGCAAGUCGAACGGAAAGGCCCCUUUGGGGGUACUCGAGUGGCGAACGGGUGAGUAACACGUGAGUACCUGCCCUUGACUUCGGGAUAACUUCAGGAAACUGGGGCUAAUACCGGAUAGGAAUCCUUGCUGCAUGGUGGGGGUUGGAAAGCUUCGGCGGUUUUGGAUGGACUCGCGGCUUAUCAGCUUGUUGGUGGGGUAGUGGCUUACCAAGGCUUUGACGGGUAGCCGGCCUGAGAGGGCGACCGGCCACAUUGGGACUGAGAUACGGCCCAGACUCCUACGGGAGGCAGCAGUGGGGAAUAUUGCACAAUGGGCGGAAGCCUGAUGCAGCAACGCCGCGUGCGGGAUGACGGCCUUCGGGUUGUAAACCGCUUUCAGCAGGGGCGAAGCUUGUGGUGACGGUACCUGCAGAAGAAGCACCGGCUAACUACGUG
Molecule: ribosomal RNA, 464 nt
Filed under: uncultured bacterium
Lineage: Bacteria
Description: partial 16S ribosomal RNA
Rfam family: Bacterial small subunit ribosomal RNA
Source: RNAcentral